UCUUUUCUCCUUUUCACUUUUUUGGAUUUUUUUAUAUUACGGCUUUUUAAAAACCACACAAUUAAGUAUAACACCGAGUGCCCUAGACUAGUGGAAGAGGGAGUACUACAUAUUAUGCACAUGACUUAGUUUGUAACCAUCAAAGUGUGUCCAUGACCCCUUAGACACUUAUGCCACCUAGAUGAUAGAGGAAGUAACAGACAGAAGGCUCGUCCUGGCUGAGAUUACUCUUUUGUCCAGAGGGAGGAGGUGCU
RNAcentral lists this long non-coding RNA (254 nucleotides) under Linum usitatissimum (flax). RNAcentral's name for it is "long non-coding RNA (LUSI_LNC004548)". Lineage: Eukaryota; Viridiplantae; Streptophyta; Magnoliopsida; Malpighiales; Linaceae. The record is from RNAcentral.